RNAcentral lists this ribosomal RNA (628 nucleotides) under uncultured bacterium. RNAcentral describes it as "bacterial SSU rRNA". The stretch from base 1 to 542 matches the Rfam family "Bacterial small subunit ribosomal RNA", at positions 338 to 873 of the family's 1533-position model. The record is from RNAcentral.
CCUACGGGAGGCAGCAGUGGGGAAUUUUGGACAAUGGGCGCAAGCCUGAUCCAGCCAUGCCGCGUGUGGGAAGAAGGCCUUCGGGUUGUAAACCACUUUUGUCAGGGAAGAAACGGUCUGAACUAAUACUUUGGACUAAUGACGGUACCUGAAGAAUAAGCACCGGCUAACUACGUGCCAGCAGCCGCGGUAAUACGUAGGGUGCAAGCGUUAAUCGGAAUUACUGGGCGUAAAGCGUGCGCAGGCGGCUUUGCAAGACAGAUGUGAAAUCCCCGGGCUCAACCUGGGAACUGCAUUUGUGACUGCAUGGCUAGAGUACGGUAGAGGGGGAUGGAAUUCCGCGUGUAGCAGUGAAAUGCGUAGAUAUGCGGAGGAACACCGAUGGCGAAGGCAAUCCCCUGGACCUGUACUGACGCUCAUGCACGAAAGCGUGGGGAGCAAACAGGAUUAGAUACCCUGGUAGUCCACGCCCUAAACGAUGUCAACUGGUUGUUGGGAGGGUUUCUUCUCAGUAACGAAGCUAACGCGUGAAGUUGACCGCCUGGGGGAGGUACGGUCCGGCGAGUUAGAACGUACGAAGUUAGAGUUGCGGCGNGAGAGNGCCGACGGACGACGACGAGGGAGGAGG